Molecule: long non-coding RNA, 1858 nt
Filed under: Chlamydomonas reinhardtii
Lineage: Eukaryota; Viridiplantae; Chlorophyta; Chlorophyceae; Chlamydomonadales; Chlamydomonadaceae
Description: long non-coding RNA (CREI_LNC001344)
Source: RNAcentral
ACCCAUGCUCAUGUGUAUUACACAGAACGACCAACGAAUGGCCUCGAUGCCCACGCACGAUGCCCACGGUUGCAAAGACGCCCCCACCCCAAAUCGUAUAUCGGUCGUGCUGCCCAGCAAGCCCUGGCCUGUACAUGCUUCCUUCAGCAUAAGGACGGGGGCGUGCGUUACAGUGUGCGGUAUAACAUGAAACACACGCUCAUAGCGCAUGCGAUACGCACAGAACGCAAAGUACUUAGCAAGCCCCACGCACGCUCUCCGCAUGCGUGCGAGGGGGCGUGCGUCGUGUAACGCAAGACGCGAGUCAGCACUCAGAGACUUGCUCAGAGACACCUUGCGAGUGGCUGAAUUCUGCACCGCAUGCGAACAGGUUUACGCGUGCGGUACGCGUGGGCCGGUUGCGUUGUGGAAUUCGCAUGGCAUAACGCGUGCGAUACGCAUACCGGUGUGCGCUGCCACACGCAAGCUGCAUCCGCUACACCCGCCUGCCGCUCCAUCCACGCACGCGAGCUACCAGCCAUUUCAGGGCAUCCAUGAACGAUUCGCUUGCGGAAGAUACAUACACCGGUUGUGGUUACAUGCCCACUGCCCAGCCGUGACCACAGGGCACAUGUUAGUUGCUAUCACAGCCGGACACCAUCCACACCGUAUCCCGCAUCCUGCUACCUAUCAACGCGCUGGUGCGCCAUGCCAGCUUGCAGCCACACCGCUACGGUACACGCGUUCGCAAUCACCCCCACCAAGUCGCUUGACUCCUGAACAGCAGCUCCUUCGCACCAUUGCACUCCUGCCUGCUGCGUCUGCGGUUAGUUCCUAUGCUGCUGUGCUUGCAGCUCCUUCGCACCUACUACCAGUGCUCUCCUGCUCCUUGUUCUGGUGCACACCCUGCCAUUAUUGCUGCUGCCUGCAUAGGUACGGGAAGGGAUGGACCAGCGGUUGGUAAUGGAACGCGAAACGGGGCUGACGGGGGGCUUACAGGGUGUGGAAAUGAGCGGGAGCGAGCCCCCGCCUAUCCAACAACGUACCUUACUUGGCAAUGACCCCGCCCUAGCGCUUGAGCCCGCCGCGACUAUCGCCGGUCAGGGGGUAAUGAUGGCCACGACUCCCGCCGUCCUGCACAGCACCGCACAGCAGGUUCAGGGCUGGGGAGAGACAGACUUGCAGCGCCCCGGCACACCGCAGUAGGCUGCGGCUCCUUCUGCAGCCACCCCACCAGCUGCAGCGCCGCUGCAGAGAGGACGAAGAAGAAAAUGAUGGUGUAAGUGCAAGGAUGCCGGAUGGUUUUCGUUCCCAAAAUGAAGUUUCCCGCAAGCUUUCCGGCAGUCCAGGACAGUCCAGAACUCACCGUUCACAUCCAGUCUCAUUUGUGCUGUGGUUGUCAAACGAGGUUGUCAAGUUGCGCCGGCUAACGGGGGAUCGCUCCCCUGCAGAAGAGGGGACAGGGGAAAUGCCACUCAGUGACGCCGCCGCACCGCUAGGGAACUGUUCGGGGGAACGGUAGCAGUCUCUGGCGAAAAGGGGGUGAGGGGACAGGGGCCACGCCACUCAGUGACGCCGCCGCACCGCAUCGCCCACGCUGCCGCUGAGUCCGGCGCCUCCUUCGCUGCUGCCGGUGCUACCCAGCCCGCCGCUUGUUGCUUCCGCUGUUGCCCGGAAACGAGCUGCUGCCACCUGUGCCUUCCAGCCCCGAACCUGCCGCGCACCGCAUACGCUAUACGCGCCCGUCUCGGCUGGGGAAUGUCGUUCAUCAGAACAAGGUGUCUCAACAUGUUUGAUGUGAUUGUUGGUAUUCUAUGAACGCGGACUGCGUCUAUGGAAGACAAUCAUUUCAUGGGCACGUACCCCCAUCCCGGCUAUG